UCUUAAGAAUUCUUUUGAAGUCUAAAGUAGUAAAAUAGAAACUUAAAAAUUUUGGCAGUAUUCAAUUUUUUAGAGAAAUAUGUAAUUUAAUCGAAAAUACACGAAAAUCUUACUUGUUUUAUUUUUGUAUAUCUCCGUUGACAGAUUUUUAUAAAAAAUAAAAUAAUUUUCUAUAAAUAAAAUAUAUGACAUCAGGUCAAGGUGCAGAAUAAAUAAGUUAUUAUGUAUUGCAUUCAAAUUUAAUUGAGAUGAAUAAAUAAUUGGAAAUAUUAUUUUGAAAAUGAAUUUAUAAGUAAAAUAAAAGAAUAAUUUUAUUUGAAAUAUUAUUGAAUAUGU
RNAcentral lists this ribosomal RNA (336 nucleotides) under Kumbadjena sp. DNA103884. RNAcentral's name for it is "partial 12S ribosomal RNA". The record is from RNAcentral. Lineage: Eukaryota; Metazoa; Onychophora; Udeonychophora; Euonychophora; Peripatopsidae.